RNAcentral lists this ribosomal RNA (474 nucleotides) under uncultured bacterium. RNAcentral's name for it is "bacterial SSU rRNA". It matches the Rfam family "Bacterial small subunit ribosomal RNA", at positions 335 to 803 of the family's 1533-position model. The record is from RNAcentral.
ACUCCUACGGGAGGCAGCAGUGGGGAAUAUUGGACAAUGGGCGAAAGCCUGAUCCAGCCAUGCCGCGUGUGUGAAGAAGGCCCUCGGGUUGUAAAGCACUUUCAGCGAGGAAGAACGCCUAGUGGUUAAUACCCAUUAGGAAAGACAUCACUCGCAGAAGAAGCACCGGCUAACUCCGUGCCAGCAGCCGCGGUAAUACGGAGGGUGCAAGCGUUAAUCGGAAUUACUGGGCGUAAAGCGCGCGUAGGUGGCUUGAUAAGCCGGUUGUGAAAGCCCCGGGCUCAACCUGGGAACGGCAUCCGGAACUGUCAAGCUAGAGUGCAGGAGAGGAAGGUAGAAUUCCCGGUGUAGCGGUGAAAUGCGUAGAGAUCGGGAGGAAUACCAGUGGCGAAGGCGGCCUUCUGGACUGACACUGACACUGAGGUGCGAAAGCGUGGGUAGCAAACAGGAUUAGAUACCCUGGUAGACUGUCAU